AGACACGUCGACCUUUGGAACUUAACCAACACAAAUAUUCGCAUCAACUCUGCCUAUUAAAUGGUAAAUUAACAUGAUUUUAUUUAUACACAGUUUAGCUGUAUAACCUAGUUACAUUUCAGAUAGGUUCAUAGUCUAGCCAAUCAAACCUUUGUGUUUUUCAUAUCUUUUUUUUUUUUUAUCAAAUCAUGCAUGUGUUAUGACAUGAAAUAGUAUGACCACAUAGAAAAUAAGCGGGGUAUGUUUUACUCUGUCUGGCUUGAUAAUUGGGAAGUACUGCAUUGUGCGAUGGUUUCCACGUUGACGAGUUUCCUUUACAUAAUUACAUGAGAUCAUCAGAUCAGUAUCCCACAUCAUACACACUUAUUCCGCAACCUCCCUGAAUCAGCAUCACUACAAGUCUACAAGUACAACUCGUGAAAUUCCUUGUGGUCGUUAAUAGUUAUAGAAAAGAUGAAAAACUCCAGUUACAAAAAAAAAAAAAAAAGAUGAAAAACUCUAAAGUUUGAUAUAUUUAGUGCGAUUAACAUCAUGUGCAGUCCAAAUUUUAUGCAAAAAAAAAAAAAAACAGCAUGUGCAGUGGAAUAUGCGUUACCGGUAGAUUUCUGCAUCUUAAUGAAAUGUCUAUUAAAAAAAACACAAGUAAAUUAUUUCGUUGUCCAAUUAUCAAAACAGUCAAAGAAAAGUGUUAAUAAUAAGAUUCGUCCUUUUCUGUGUUGUGUUGACAUGUCAUGCGUGUCCCAUUAAAAACCUGAAUCCCACUUAACAAAGCUGAUAAAGCUCCCAAAGAUCGUGCAGUCCAAUAAUCUAGGUCUAGUAAUAAUAAUUUAAUACUAGUUACAUCUUACGUACACGACAUUCGAGAAAUCUUUGUUGAGAACUUUAAGUACUUCUCUAGAGAUAAACGAUCGACAUUAACCUUUUCUUUGAGAAUUAACGACAUUACACCCGCAUAUUUUUGAAUUUGAAUUAUAAUUUUAAAUAAGUUAAGAUGGUAGUAUUAGAACUGAAAAUUCUAUAGAAAACUGCAUUAUAUAUUUGAAAAUUACAUUCUAGUAUAAAAUGAAUUUUUUUAAACGACAGCUAAUAUAUGUUAGCUCCAGGAAAGGAGCUGGUUCAAUGCAAAAACAGAGCAUGUGUUACAUGACUCACUUGGUAUGUGAGAUACCGG
RNAcentral lists this long non-coding RNA (1171 nucleotides) under Brassica rapa (field mustard). Its description in RNAcentral is "long non-coding RNA (BRAP_LNC005538)". The record is from RNAcentral. Lineage: Eukaryota; Viridiplantae; Streptophyta; Magnoliopsida; Brassicales; Brassicaceae.